UACGAACUGUGCAAACGUUAUUCGGAAUCACUGGGCUUAAAGGGUGCGUAGGCGGCUUAUCAAGUAGGGUGUGAAAGCCCCCGGCUUAACCGGGGAAUUGCGCCCUAAACUGACGAGCUGGAGUGGGACAGGGGUGUGUGGAACUUCCGGUGGAGCGGUGAAAUGUGUUGAUAUCGGAAGGAACGCCGGUGGCGAAAGCGACACACUGGGUCUCAACUGACGCUGAGGCACGAAAGCUAGGGGAGCGAACAGG
Molecule: ribosomal RNA, 253 nt
Filed under: uncultured bacterium
Lineage: Bacteria
Description: partial 16S ribosomal RNA
Rfam family: Bacterial small subunit ribosomal RNA
Source: RNAcentral